UUUUUUGUAAAGAAUAUUAUAUAGAAUAUUUCUAAGUUGAUAUAUUAUUGUAAUAUUAGACUUCCUUAUAGAAUAAGGAAGGUUGUUGGAAAUAUCUUUAUAAAUAUUCUAGGUCAUGAGAGGAAAAAGUCAUGAGAUGGAGAUGAGCCUAUAGAGACUAUACGAGGUGGAUAGAGAUGUGAGGAAGAAUGGGAGGUACCUGGUGGAGCGAGAGGGCUCGUAGUAAGGUAUGGAUACAAGGAGUGGGGAAACAUGGGAUGUUUCGAGAACCCAAUAGUUGUAUCUGGUUCUAUCCUCUGUAAUAUUCUCUAUUGUAUAGUGGAAUUAUUCUCUCUCAUCCGUGGACGUAGGCAUGGUUGGUUGAACCACGUUAAAACCUCGUGUACCGUAUGUGUGAUUGUUUUAUCUUUGUGUUCUUGAACUAACAUUGUUGGCAUCAAAGCUUUCGCUGGCACAACAAUUGGUAUCAGAGCUUGGGUUGAAGAUUUCUGGAAGAGUAAAAGAUCACAAAGCACACAAGAUGAAAACAAAAGGAAUUUUCACUGAAGGUGGAGUCGAUUGCUCUUUCGUGGUGAUAUGAUACAAAAAGGUUUGUGUCAUGGAGAGAUUGAAGAUUAACUUCAUGUAAUUUGGUCCAAGGUGGAGAUUGUUAGGAAGUGUCCCAAAUUCCUAAUUA
Molecule: long non-coding RNA, 676 nt
Filed under: Vitis vinifera (wine grape)
Lineage: Eukaryota; Viridiplantae; Streptophyta; Magnoliopsida; Vitales; Vitaceae
Description: long non-coding RNA (VVIN_LNC003031)
Source: RNAcentral